This 800-nucleotide ribosomal RNA is filed under the name Acinetobacter nosocomialis. Its description in RNAcentral is "bacterial SSU rRNA". It matches the Rfam family "Bacterial small subunit ribosomal RNA", at positions 60 to 855 of the family's 1533-position model. Lineage: Bacteria; Pseudomonadati; Pseudomonadota; Gammaproteobacteria; Moraxellales; Moraxellaceae. The record is from RNAcentral.
AGUCGAGCGGGGAAGGUAGCUUGCUACUGGACCUAGCGGCGGACGGGUGAGUAAUGCUUAGGAAUCUGCCUAUUGGUGGGGGACAACAUCUCGAAAGGGAUGCUAAUACCGCAUACGUCCUACGGGAGAAAGCAGGGGAUCUUCGGACCUUGCGCUAAUAGAUGAGCCUAAGUCGGAUUAGCUAGUUGGUGGGGUAAAGGCCUACCAAGGCGACGAUCUGUAGCGGGUCUGAGAGGAUGAUCCGCCACACUGGGACUGAGACACGGCCCAGACUCCUACGGGAGGCAGCAGUGGGGAAUAUUGGACAAUGGGCGCAAGCCUGAUCCAGCCAUGCCGCGUGUGUGAAGAAGGCCUUAUGGUUGUAAAGCACUUUAAGCGAGGAGGAGGCUACUUUAGAUAAUACCUAGAGAUAGUGGACGUUACUCGCAGAAUAAGCACCGGCUAACUCUGUGCCAGCAGCCGCGGUAAUACAGAGGGUGCAAGCGUUAAUCGGAUUUACUGGGCGUAAAGCGCGCGUAGGCGGCUAAUUAAGUCAAAUGUGAAAUCCCCGAGCUUAACUUGGGAAUUGCAUUCGAUACUGGUUAGCUAGAGUGUGGGAGAGGAUGGUAGAAUUCCAGGUGUAGCGGUGAAAUGCGUAGAGAUCUGGAGGAAUACCGAUGGCGAAGGCAGCCAUCUGGCCUAACACUGACGCUGAGGUGCGAAAGCAUGGGGAGCAAACAGGAUUAGAUACCCUGGUAGUCCAUGCCGUAAACGAUGUCUACUAGCCGUUGGGGCCUUUGAGGCUUUAGUGGCGCAGCUAA